UACAGAGAGUGCAAGCGUUAAUCAGAAUUACUGGGCGUAAAGCGCACGUAGGUGGAUAUUUAAGUCGGAUGUGAAAUCCCCGGGCUUAACCUGGGAAUUGCAUCCGAUACUGGGUAUCUUGAGUAUGGUAGAGGGAAGUGGAAUUUCCGGUGUAGCGGUGAAAUGCGUAGAUAUCGGAAGGAACACCAGUGGCGAAGGCGGCUUCCUGGACCAAUACUGACACUGAGGUGCGAAAGCGUGGGGAGCAAACAGG
RNAcentral lists this ribosomal RNA (253 nucleotides) under uncultured Coxiella sp. RNAcentral describes it as "partial 16S ribosomal RNA". It matches the Rfam family "Bacterial small subunit ribosomal RNA", at positions 524 to 776 of the family's 1533-position model. The record is from RNAcentral. Lineage: Bacteria; Pseudomonadati; Pseudomonadota; Gammaproteobacteria; Legionellales; Coxiellaceae.